Molecule: RNA transcript, 3251 nt
Organism: Apis mellifera (honey bee)
Lineage: Eukaryota; Metazoa; Arthropoda; Insecta; Hymenoptera; Apidae
Gene name: protein FAM76A
Exons: 9
Source: RefSeq, a predicted model, not a curated record
UUUAAUAAAUUUGGAAAUAAAUUAAACAUAUUUACUAUGGUAAUCGUUAUAUGUAUUAUUAGGUUAUAUUUAUAUUUGAUAUAUGCUUAAAAAGCUAUGUAAACAUAAGAUGCGUGCAUUACUGCACGUGCGUAAACGGAACUGCUGAACUAUACGAAUGACGAACAAGGUGUGCUGAUUCGUUAGUUUCAAAAGGAAAAGGUCAAAGAGGACAUAUUCUACGAGGAAUGUUUACAAUAUUGUGUUAACGCCAAUUUAACCAAUUAUUAAUCAGUUCUCUUAGUCAGGAAAAGAAUGAUUGGUUUGUAACAUAUUUUGUUGGAUAUGUAUGAGAAGAUGAAAGCGACAUCUACUCGUUAAUGUGAACAAGUAAAAACGUAAGAAGUCACAGAUGGCUGUCUCAAAUCAACAACCGGUGCAGUGAACGAGCGAAGUGACGCGGUUAUGUACGCAAAACAAUCGCGUCAGACGCGUAAAACAUCGUGAAACAUGUAAGGAGUUGUUAUCGUAAGUGCCAUCGUGUUGAAUUUUACGUUUCUUUUUGUUUUACAAUACGGCCGAUUACUAGUGAAAGCAAAAUUUGGCUCGAUCCGCCGUUGUCUUUACGAAUUGGUUUUAUCGUCGGUGACGUACGGUUUUGGGGCACCGAGGCCAAACACGAAUCGCUGUUCAAGGAUGAGCGCGAACAAUGUGCAAGCACUUUUCGCAUGUUCAAGAUGCUUUUCAAGGCAUCCUUUUGAAGAACUUUCUCCAGGGCAACAAUUGUGUAAGGAAUGCAGAGGUGCAUUUCCUGUGGUGAAAUGUACAUAUUGUAGAUCGGAAUUCCAACAAACGAUAAAGGGAAAUACAAGCACUAUUUGUAAGAAAUGUGAACAAAAUGUGAAAUCUUAUGGUAAACCAUCGGCCUGUGAAUAUUGCAAUACCAUAGCUGCAUUUAUUGGUAGUAAAUGUCAAAGAUGUACAAAUUCUGAGAAGCGUUAUGGGCCACCAGUUACUUGCGAACAAUGCAAACAAAAGUGUGCCUUUGACAGACAAGAUGAAGAUAAGAAGGUUGAUGGAAAAUUAUUAUGUUGGCUGUGCACAUUGUCAUACAAACGAGCAUUGGCAAAAACAAAACAAUCCGAUGCUGAAAGGAGGGCACAUUUGAAAUUAGCACAACAACGAGCAGCAAAGCACAAAGAACAAAAAUUAAAGAGUCAUAAUAAGAGACCACACAGAAUAGAUGUAACGAAGCUACCGCCUCAAUCCGAAGGUGCGGACACAAAUGGUCCAACACCGGUGAAAGCAGCGCGAAUGGUUGGUGUCCAUGAUCCACAUGAUCCCAAUAGUUCGGAUCAUGUAGUCGCCGUUACACAACUUAAAGAAAAGAUAGCUCAUCUUCAGAAACAAAUAUCUAUUAAAGAUGGGCAAUUACUUGCUAAAGAUAGACAAAUUACAGAAUUGAAAGCAAAAAAUUUUACAUCAGAAACAGAGCUGCGUAAUAAAAUGAAAGCGACAGAAAAAGAGUACGAAGCCAAAAUAUCGACGAUGCAACACAAGAUUUCCAGUUUGCUGAAAGAAGUUGCUUCCUUAUCAAAGAGUUCUAAGCGAGGUGAUAGAGUAGCUGCCACAAAAACAGAAGCUGGGACCAACAGUGGAAGCGGAACAGACAGUCCUGUACCUUGAUAAGAUGGCGGGCACACGCGAGCGGAUCCGAGCGGAGCGCGAUUAAAAGUGAAGGCUGUUGACCACGUGGCCGGAGGUCAUAGCGGCGUAGGCAGACGUUACUCUCUUCUCGUCUGGUGGAAGCGAGCCGCGAGGCUGGUCGUGCGGCCUGGGCUGCGCCUCGCCGAGCGGUAUGAAAGGUGAAGAAGGUCUGUCUGUGUGAAAUGAAUCCUUCUGACGAUGAUGAAUCCUCGCGCGAGUGACGACGACGACGACGAGGUGUGCGACGAGAGGUGAAUGGAGGGCUCGGAUAAAGAAAGUUACGUCACUGUUGGCGCGUUGCUGGCGAACCUCGACAGCCUCUCGUCUCCUUCCGUCCCGCCCCGCCCGUCCCGACUCAGGAGCGGCAACACGCACCGCGGAAAGUCGACGGACAAGGAAGGAAGUUGACGGCGGAUAGGAAGAGGAACGGCGUUGGAAACGGAUUCGAAGGAGAAAGGGGUGACGAUUGUCGACCUAAUAAGACCGAGGGGGAUAUUCAGGGACACCGGUACAGAGAGCGGAGAGAAGGAGAGAGGAUGGACGUCACAGGAGGAAAGGAGAAACUACUACCGCGUUGAAGGGAGUAGGGAUGAAGAAAGGAGAGAGAGAGAGAGAGAGAAGAGGGUCGCUCGGUCGAAGACACGAGACACACGGCGACCGCUCGUUACAUAAGUAAGGUAAAGGAUCUCCUCUUCUGCUCUCCUUGAGUCGAUCCACAUCCGCGAUUAUGCCACUUUCCAUCGACCUCGCUUCACCUCGGCUCGCCGUGCAUCGACACCACGUGUGUGCGCGUGUUUGUGUACGUGCAACGGAAGCUCGUGAUUUCCUUUAUGGAUCGAAAUCCAUGAGCUUCCUUGGAAAAGAAAAGGUCGAAUCAGGAUUUCCAGCCAUCGAAAAGAAUCAAUUUUUCUCCUCCUCUCCCUCUAUAAAGAUCGAGGAUGGAAUUGAAAUUUUUUUUCUUAAUAAAAAAUUGGUAAAAAUCAUCGAGACAUCGGUUGAAAAUUAAUUAAUUACUCGGAGGAGGAAAUUAAUCAUUGUUAUCCCUUUGAACUGGAAAAUUUGAAAAUGAAAAGAUUAGAUAUAGUCCGAGGCGAGACUGUCACCGGGAGACAAAAGGAAUUGUGUCAGUUUUUUUCCUCCGGAACACCUGGAGAAGAGGAGGCAGAGAAUUAUGCCAGCCCGUUCUUCAGCCCCCGCAGCAUAUUGUCCGGGAAGCUUGCCGCGGGGGAGAAAAAAGGUUUAUUAAAUUUUUCAUUUUCCUAGAAUCAAAUGAUUUUAAUUAAGUCUUCGAGUCUUAUCUAUAAUUGGUUGUUUCGUUAAUUGCCAAAUACUUCGGUAUAAUAUAUUUGCAUUUCUUUUCUUUCUUUUUUUUUUUUUCAAAGAAUCUUCUGUAUAAACAAGAAGAACAAGACGUCGAAUCGAUAUGAUCCUGAAAUUAAAUUUUUCCGGCCAUAUAGUUGUAAACAGGAAACGGGGUAAUGGAUUACGCCAAUAAGAAAAAUGUAUCGAACAAAACGUAUCAUUCUGUACUAUGUAAAAAAAAGCGUCUUGCUUGGUUCGAUCAA